This 7751-nucleotide unclassified non-coding RNA is filed under the name Haliotis rufescens (red abalone). RNAcentral's name for it is "doublecortin domain-containing protein 1-like, transcript variant X1". The record is from RNAcentral. Lineage: Eukaryota; Metazoa; Mollusca; Gastropoda; Lepetellida; Haliotidae.
AUCUCCUAGGUGAUAGCGGCAAAUAUCAAUAUGGCCGCAAAAUGUUGAUUUUCACACUUUCUUGGAGAUAACAAUUUUUGCAUGGCCAAGUGACACUAUUAUACAACCUCGUGGACAUACAUACGUGACAAAAAUGCCAAAGGGUGGGGACAUGGACGUAAACAGAAUGUCGUCAAGGGACAAGAAUGUAAUGAACUAUAACCCUAACAAUUCGGGCAUGAUCAGCUAUGAAGACUUACUCAUAGCCCAGUACUUGGAGGAAAUGAAGAAAUCAAGAGCUGAAGUCAAGAAAGACAGAGAGCUCCCAGCAUCUCCGUACCUGCAGCGGUUCCCCCCAACUCCCACCACCGCCACGUACAGUCGACCACGGAGACGGCCAGCCUCAGCUGUCAAUUUGCGCAACAAACAACGAUCUGAAAAACCAAAGAUAGAUGCAAAGUUCAUCGCUGAUCCCAGCAUGUGGGAUCCGGAAACCCCCCGUGAGAAGUACGGCAAACACCCUCGCCGCCCCGCCAGUGCACCUGUCAGGAGAGUCAGCCGUCCAGUGUCCGGUGUGUCUUCUCGCUACUCCUACUUCAGACCCUCCUCCGGGAAACGGCCUAAAGGUCUGUAUCGGCGCCAGCCACACACGAUACGAGUUGUAGCCUUCAAAAAUGGAACGCGGGACAGUUUUGUCAGAGCUACAGCACCCAAUAUAAAGAUGCUGUUGGAGUUCCUCACGGUGAAGCUGGGGCUGCCGUUUGCUGCACGGAGGAUCUUCCUGGAGGAUGGCAUCGAGGUGUUCGAGGCCAGGGACAUCCUCCCAGAGAGUGAUGUCUACAUCUCCAUGGGGGAAAACUACAAGGAUCCACAUCUUCCCACGAAACGGAACCUGAUCCAGAGGGAGGGGGCUGUGUGGACACUGUCAGGCAUCAUGCUCCCAGAGGAAGGCAAAAAGAAGAAGACGAGGUCAUGCCUAUCCAGGAGGAUGAAGACUCUGAUUGAACAGAAGAGAGUGAGAAUCCUGGUGUACCGGAAUGGGCGGAGUAAGGAGCCCAUGGAGAUCGUGGCUGACCUGGCCAACACAGAGGAGUUCCUUGUUGCCUGCACGGCCAAGCUGGACCUCCGAUGUCACGCCCGCACUCUGUAUGACUGGGAGGGCAAUGAGAUCACCGAUCUGUCUGCAACCCCUAUUCUGGACGACUGUCUCCAGCAGGGAGGGACGCCUGUCAUGGGGCCGCUGUGGGUGUCCAUUGGGGAGGGUUUCAGCCCCACAGGCACCACCGACUUCAUCUCCAGCAUCAAGCAGAUCGUCAAGUCUCGGCUGAAGGAGGUGAAGAAGUACAGGACAGAGAUUAAUUACGCCAUGAGUGACGAGGACAAGGACAAGGUGACGGUCGCUGCCGUCUUGUCUCUCAAACCGGACCAACUCUAUGAAGCCUUGGACAGUGCUGAUGAUGAUGUUGACAAGCUGACGAGAACACUGUCGAGGCUAAAGGUGAAGCUGGAUGCACUGGAGGCUGAGCGAGAAAAGGAGGAGGCCAUGGGAGCGAUGUACAAAAUGGCGCACAUACAGGAACUGAAUGUUGACGACAGGCUGCUCGGCACCAAGGGACUCAAACUCAAGGUGUACGAGAACGGCAUGUCUGAAGGAGUGCAGAACUUCUUCUUCAACCUGAGAGGGGCGUUGAAGGGGAUCGGACACGACCGCCCUAAACUCAUGGCCCGGUUGCUGGAUGAGCUGUCGACAGGGUACUGGUCGUCGGGGGGAGUCAACCCCAAACUGAACGCCGUCGCUCAAAAGCUGUACGACAAGUACGGUCGCGAGAUCACCAAUGUAUUGGCUCUGGAGUCUGAGCAGGAGGUGUGGGUGUCGUAUGGCGAGGCCUUCAUCUGCCCCUUCACCUACUGCGUGGAGCUUUUCUUCGACAAGGCCACCAAGCUGGAGAUCGAAGGAGCCACUCAUGUGGUGCGUGAACCAUUGAUGCAGGAAGACGCCCAGGCCACUGACGAACAUGGCCAGUGGGAUGCGACCAUCGGCUUCCCUGUGAUGUACGAGUCUGCCAUGGCUAAUCUGAUGAUGCAGGACCCGGACAAGAUGAAGUGGAUGACGGAGUGUGCGGAGGUCGAUGAACGAGGCUUCUACCUGCUACAUAAGAAACGCAAGGACCUGGCGCUGUACCCAGAGCUUGUUGUCAAUGAGAAGUUCCGUCUGCGUCCCGAUGACAAGCGCCCGGGGGAGAGUGAAGUCCGUCGCAGGAAGGAACUGCAGACAUGGGUCAUCACACAGUCCGGCUACAUCAUAUGUAAGUUCAUGCCUCAGCUGUGUCUGGGUGUGUCCGACACGACAGUGAAGGGACGCUUCUUUGACCGAGACGCGGAGAUGGAGGGACAGGUCGUCACACUGCAGAAGAAGAUGGCACAGAACCCCAACCAGAUGUGGAAGUUUACGACGGAUGCCACCAUCGCAUCUGUGGCAUGUCCCGACAAAGUGCUGACCUAUCUCGGCAACAAGUUUGGAGAUGACGAGUCGUAUACGGAGAAUCCCCCAGAGGGCAGCAAGUCCGGAGUCCGCGUGUAUCUUAUCGUGUCGGAACCCAAGUCAAGGAAGGAGGGCUCCUGUCAGAGGUUUGGUCUGAAGCAGGAAAAGUUUGACAACCUGGGACAGUGGAAGUACACGCAGGCUAGAAACUCUGAGUGGCACAAGCUGGCUUACUCGUGGCCCAUCACUACAGAAGGAGAGCUCAAUGAGAGAUAUGACUGGCCGAUGGAGGGCUACUUGAUGCCACACGCCCCGCCGCUACACAAGUCCGACAAGAAGUCCGGCCUUACAGGAGUGGCUCCGCUGCGUCUGUGGGUGAUGAAGAAUGGGGAGAGAGAUAAAACCACAGCACUACAGAUUGUCGGGCCCAAUUUGACAACGAUGAUGAAGGAGGCCCCCAAGAAGGACAAGAAGGAUGGUGGACGCGGCAGAAAGAAGGACACGCCUGUGAAUCAUGCUGACUCUGUUGACAUCGACGUCACCAUUGGCGACCUCACCGUCAGGGAGCUGGAGUUUCUCAUGUUCCUGGACCACUGUACAUCGCUCCUGGAUCUGCCGUUUGCCGCGCGCCGAAUGUUUGACGAGACGGGUGUGGAACACUUCACCCUCCAGAGUCUGCAGCGAGAUCAGCUGGUGUUCGUCACGUGCGGGGAGCAGUGGAGUGACCCCAAACUCAACAAGACGGAGCAGCAGCGCCGAUUCCUUCUGUCUCAGCUCUCCACCGAUGUGGCCAAGAUUCGCCAGUUUGUUGCUCUGAGGGACCCUCAAGGUUUUGUGAUGGAGAUGGAGGGUGGUGUGACUCCCAAUGUGAAGGUCGUUGUCAACAAAUGUUGGACUCGGGAGGAAGAUGAGGCAGAGGAGCGUGCCAGGGAGGUUAACACAACAGCCAGACAGGAGGAAGAUCAGGGGGAGGAAGAUUUCACAACGGAACACCUCAACGCCCACCACCGCGCCCACUUAAAGUCUGAGAGACGCCUGGACACCCUGCGCUGGCCCUGGGAGAGACUGGUAAAUGUCGGCAACAGUUUUGAUGACAGCGACCCAGAGGCAGUCAAGUACUCCAACAAGGACCUGUAUGAGAAAUAUCGGCCUCGCCCAUCCCCCCGUGUGUCCAGGGACACACUCCAGCGGUUCGUGUACGAGGACGGCUUCAUUGCUUGUUCAGCCAAUCACAGCCUGGUGCUGGGGGUCCAGGAACAGGAAGGGCGGGUCAUCGAUGUGUACCUGCAGAAGCGGCGGCCGGACGAUAUCAACCAGCGCUGGGUCAUGAAGGAAAAUGGUGAGAUCUGCUCCAAGUACAACCAGCAGAUGGCGCUGACUAUCGCGAUGCCCAACGUCCACGGCGACAACCGUCCCUUGACCUUCACAGGGUGUGCAGUGACACUGCAGGCUCGCCGACUCAACCAGUAUGGCAAGGCUCACCAGCGGUGGCGCUACGAUGCAGAGACAGGCUUUAUAUACGCUUUCUACGCUGACCAGUACGAUAAAGAGAUAACAGCAGCCAACCGGGCGGACGUCUGCACAUCCUCUGUAUCCCAUGCUGCUGUCAUCGAUCAGCCGGGCUACAUUGCAGAAGUGAAUGACAGGAAGAACCGCGACAUUCGGGUCUGUCUGUCUUGUGCCCGGGCCAUGAGAGGGCGCUUCAAGCUGCAGCGACUCCCCAACAACAAGCCCUUCGCCUGUGCCAUGGGACAAGCUAGGAAGCUGAAGUUGCGGCAUGUGGGAAGUUUCUGUGUGCUGAAUGGCAAGGUGGACCUGUCGACGCCUGAGGCGGAGAUCACUCUGCGCAACUGGGAGGAGAGUCUGACAACACUCCGGGAGGAGACCAGCGUCAAGACGAUCGCCAGGCAGAUCUCCGCAGCCAAGUCUGUGCGGACUGUCAAGCUGCUCAUGUACAAGAAUGGAGAGGGCAGAAUGAGGGCUGGCGAGAAGGUGUACGGAUCUAGCAUACAAGGGAUCCUGAACCAGUGCACGCAUCAGCUGAGCCUGAACAAGCCAGCAACGCGACUGUACACGGAGGACGGAGUGCUGAUCCUGGACAUGGACGAUCUUGUGGACUGGGCCGUGGAGAACUACAAGGCUGUCAUGGCCGACCGCAUCGAGAAGAUCAUCAUGAUGGAGAACAGCGACAGUGAGCAAUCAGGUACCCCGAUACCCGAAGGUGGAGACAACAGGGUGGGCCUCCAGGACCAAGCCUCGCAGGAGGUGCACUCACAGCUUGCCCGUGCCAUGCAGAACAUGGAACAGUUUGAGGAGGAUGAGCGUGGUGGUGGCGACACGGAGGAGAGAGGGGCGGGGGAUGUUGGGGAGGAACAGGAUGCCAGGGAGGAGAAGACAGAGCUGGACUCCCAGGAGACGAGGAAGGUGGAGCGGAAGAGGGAGGAGCUGCUCAGCCGGGUGCCGCUGCCACCGCUCGAGACCAUCCUCAGAUACCCCAUCGAGCUGUGGGUCUCCAGCGGCAAGAACUUCGUUCCACCAGAAGUGGUUGAGUCGAAGGAUAUCAAUCGUAAGAAGAAGCGAGCCUUCCGUGGGCAGGUGUCCCUCGAUCUGGACAUAGAGAAACAUGUGCUGCGUCAGAUGAAAGCUCGUCGUAUGGAUGAGCUGAGCCCCGGGGAGUACAAGUCCACUCUCAGCACAUCCCAGCCCGUGGUCAUCCAAGGACAAUGGCAGCAGCUGACCCCCCAGGAGCAGGACAAACAUGACACUGUCCACAAGCUGGAGACCCACCUGGGAGAGAUCAAGGCCAACCAGAGACUGGGACUGGCCAGCAUCAACCUGAAGGGGAAGCUGUACCACCAGCCAAACAUGAAACGAGUGCAGGUGUACCCUAACGGUGAGAGCCUGGAGAGGGCGUUGUACGUUUGGGGGGAGACGCUGGAUCAGCUUCUAGAGACUUCCACCCACAAGCUGACGCUCUGGAAGAAGGCCCAGAUGUUCUUCACAUCCGAUGGAAAGCUGAUUGAGACAUUCGAGGACAUCGAGCGGGACCAGUUGCUCUGUGUCUCCACGGGGAAGGCCUUCAAGAAGCCGCGAGUGCAGAUGUUGGAUGUGGAGGUCAAGGCCAGCUGGGGUCGAGCACGACGAGAGUAUGGGCCGUCGGCCACGGAUGUUAGAGUUGACGCUAAGGGGAAUCCUACAGUGGAUGUGGAUCCGUUUGGUCCUCCAGAGCUGGCCUUACCUUUAGAAGCUCCAAAGUAGGGCGGGACAGUCCGUGGAGCCAGGGAUGGAGCAAGACUCACAAGCCUUCUUGCAGCAGCAGCAGCAGCAGCAACAACAGCAGCAGCAACAGCAGCAGCAGCAGCAACAGCAGCAACAGCACAGUACAUUGAUUCCAGAGAUUGGCUGGAGGUGCUACAGUCUAUGCCAGAUUGAUGUGUAUAUAAUGCAGAAUUUGAUGUAGGGCUUAGCUUUAAUAAGACAUAGCAUCAAUAGGUUUGACUAUGGCAAUGUUAUAGAGUUCUGUGUGGGUUUAUUUUCAUCUGCAGUUGUUAAAAUAUGCAACUUUCAAAACUUUGAGCCCAAUUUUGAUCAGUAUGUAGUUAUUCAAUACAAGCCCGGUAUCAGUGUGGUAGAUAGUUGCAGAAUAUUAAUCAGAAUACCAGGGCGUUGUGGGGACAUCUGUCUGUGAUUGUGACAUAGAAUGAUCUCAGCUGGAGUGAGCACUCCCUGCCAAAAGAAACUCUGACCAGGUGUAUAUAUUCAGGAGAAUCAACUUGGGGAUGGAAUGAAGGUGACACCAUGAACUUGGUAUCUUGGGGUCAGGGAUCCCUUGUUCCUAAUUGCACAAAAGUUAUUUUCUUGAUAUGGCCUGUGUACCACCACCCAGAGACCUGCUUGUAAAGCUUAAUUUCCCCUACUUGGGAGUUUCUUGCCCAUGACCUUGACCUUUGUUUUAUCUGUCUCACACUAGUGGAGUGGCUGGUGGGCAGUUGUCAGGAUAUACCCAGCGCUUUCUAGUCAAUGUACCCAGAUCUGUAUGUGUGGCCAUUAAAUAUCACUUGCCUCAUUCUGGUGUAACUGAUGAUAUACAGCUGUGAGUUGCUGAAGCUUUCUGAAGGACAGUUACAAAUAACAUGUAUGACUGGUACUUCUUGGUCUGUAGACGAUGUAUUUGUCUUCAUUGGUGGUUGUGCUUCACUUGGUAGGCACACAGUGUGUCUACGAACACAAGGUCCAUGUGAACAUCUCACGGUCUAUGUUAGCACCAGAAGGUCCAUGUGAACAUCACAUGCAAGGUCCAUGUGAACAUCAUACGGUCUAUGUCAACACCACAAGGUCCAUGUGAACAUCACACGGUCUAUGUUAACAUCACACGGUGUAUGGUAACACAAGGUCCAUGUGAACAUCACACGGUCUAUGUUAACACCACAAGUUCCAUGUGAACAUCACACGGUCUAUGUUAACACCACAAGUUCCAUGUGAACAUCACACGGUCUAUGUUAACACCACAAGGUCCAUGUGAACAUCACACGGUCUAUGUUAACAUCACAAGGUCCAUGUGAACAUCACACAGUCUAUGGUAACACAAGGUCCAUGUGAACAUCACACGGUCUAUGUCAACACCACAAGGUCCAUGUGAACAUCACACGGUCUAUGUUAACACCACAAGGUCCAUGUGAACAUUACACGGUCUAUGUUAACAUCACAAGGUCCAUGUGAACAUCACACGGUCUAUGGUAACACAAGGUCCAUGUGAACAUCACACGGUCUAUGCUAACACCACAAGUUCCAUGUGAACACCAUUUUAAAGUACCAACCGGAAACAUUGUGACCGAUAUAUGAUAUUUUAUCAUUUUAUUUAAUUUAUGUCGUCAAAUUUGUUUGUUUUACUUACGAGAAGAUCUGUGUGACAGAAAUUGUUUUAAUCCUCUGUCCAAUUCCGUCCAAGUUAUUGGUUGUGUUUGUCUGUGAUAUGAUCCUGUUUACUGUACGUUUAUCUGCUAUAUAAGUUUAUGAAAUAACAUUGAUAGUAUACAUAAUCAUCUUACCUCUGUAGCAGACUAACAUACUUUCUAAUUAAUUAGGAAUCAUUUUACAAGUGUUUACCGUAUACAUGACAAGAGUCUUUACCGUCAGAUAGAAUAGGAUUUUGUUACUGUUUUUGCUUAGUGUGUACCAUAUUUUUAUAGAGAAAUAUUGAUGAUGUUACUUGCAAACAUUAUUGUACAAAAAUCGUUUUCUAAGGAGCUUGUUUCAACAAAUAAACUUGCGGAAUAAAAUCUAAAUAGCA